UUAUGAAACAAAAUUUUAAUCCUAAAACGACAACUAAACUGAAACGGAGGGAGUACUAGUAAACAAUUUAGGAAUUAAGAUCAAAUUAAUAAUCUAGAAGUUUAUGGUGAUUUUUUAAAAAUAGUAAAAAAAAAUCUAUCUAUACUAAUAAAAGGGACAAUUUGAGGCUUUUCAGAGUGUCCACCUCAGCUUUUACAAAAUCUCUCAGAAGUUGCCACAUAAGCAGGCGUCGUGAAAGCUACUUCUCAAAGGCCACGUGUACCUCCAUUUAUAGCUACAAAGGGUUCUCACUUCUUAAAACGUCAAAAAACUUUGAUAUAAAAUCAAAACGUUAUCACUUCUCUAAACUUGGUUUACGAUUCGUCUCCUCCAUCUAUCUUUCAUCUGACUGUCCAAGUUCUUCAUCACUAAUUUUGAACAUUUUAGAAAUUCUGAUUUCUUUUGGUUCUCUAGGGUUUUCACUUUCAAUCUUAUUUAUUUUAUAUCAAAAAAUCAAUCGCUCCCUUUCCCGUAGAAAAGUGGUCGUUGUUGAUCUCUAGAUUUGAACAUUGAGAAUUAGAGAGAGAAUGGACAGAGCCGAGAAGAAAAAUAGUGAACCUAACCUACGGUCGUCUCGGGAUGCAUGCUCACUCUACAACGGACAAAAACCACAAAUCACGUCAGUGACAGUCAUUAUCAAGCCGGAUAUUUUUCUUUCUUGGUUCAAACUUAUCAAAAUACAGCAAUUCUAGGUAUGUUUCCUUUAUGGUAUUAUUUCAUCUUAACGUCUUCAGUAGUGGCUAAUAUUACUUUAGAACCCAUUUGGUAUAUGGUAGUUUCUAUCCACUGAUCACUCCCAAUUUAAUUAACUUUUGGUUUUCUUAUGUCGACGCUAGGAUUUUGGUAUGAAAGCAUAGUUAGUUCAUAUAUUCAUGCGGAAUGGAGAAAAAGAUAUUUUGGAUUAAAUAAUUCCAACGCAGAAGCGUCAGAAUUUUUCCUACAUUAUAUACAUCUUUUUAAACCCCACAUCUCUUCUUCGAAACUUAAGAUUCCAAGGAAGAGGAUCUAUGUUGCAGAGACUUAUGUUGGUUUCAAAUGUAUUGGCGUGAAUUGGAAGCAAAAAAGAACUUAUGUUGGUCUCAAAUGUAUUGGCGUGACUUGUGAGUAACCAUGCAAUGAACUCGAGAGGGUGUUCCAUUUAAAGGCGUGUUUGGUUUAGUUUAUGAUGCAAGGGUUCUACUUUGCCCAAUCAUGCAAGGGUUUCCUUUAAAACCAAAAAAAAAUUCCAAGAAAAAGGAUUAUUGGUCUCAGUUCCUCCAUCGACUUAGACAAAGUAAGUGUUACUCUAAUGAUUUACAUAAUUUCUUAGAGAUGUAUCUAUAUACGUUAAGGUCCAGAUAUUUUCUUUACACAAUUACACCAUUGUCUUUUGGUUAUUCUACAUGUAGAAUAUGUGCUAAUAGACAUGUGAAUUAUCAGCAAGCUGAUAUCCUAAAAUUUCCAGACUUCUCGCCAAACUGUUAAUAUCCCAUGUAUCAUUGAGAACAAUAUUCCCUUAGAUACCAUAUCAAGUGAAGAAAACUUGAGGACAACGGAUGUCGAUUGUGAGAUUGUUUUCACAAUAGGAAAAACAGAGCAAUCAUGGAGUCCAUGAACUCAAACAAGCCCACUGCAGAAAAGAAAAACAAAUGCGCCCGUCUCGACAACUAAAAACACCCUAUUUGUGUCCAGGUUUUCAUGGGUGUUCCUUUCGUUGUGUUUUCAUGUUUCCAACCAAUUGAUUGAUAUUCCUAAAUUCCACAACUACCCACCAAUUGAUUGAUAUUCAUGGUUAGGGAAUUGACUUUGCACUCACACAAGGUACUGAGGUAACAUUAAAGGAAUGGGAAAGAAAAUAAAAUAUUUGAGUUUUAGUUAAGCAUCAAUAAGGCCACCUUCUAUCUUCAUUUUCUACUCACCAGUGUAAUAGUUGUUUUCUGCUAUGACUCUGAAACGUUUGUCUAACUGUGAUCCUUCUUUUAAUAUUAAGCCCUUUCUUCAUAAAAUCUUUUUUUUUGAUCUCAAAUUAUGUGUCUUUAGUCUCUGUUUUGUUUGCAGGUUUGAGUCAAAUUGUCGGAUGAACAAAAUCCACAUUUAGAUGUUAUUCGAGAUCAUGGAGGUGAUAAUAGGAAUUCUUUUGGAGAAGGACAUGAUUAACUAUACCAAAUCGAGAAGUUAUAUAAUGGAAUUCUACGAGAAAAACAACUAUAAUAACCCCAACAGAAGAUGGUUAAGUCAUGCACAUUUAUUCGAGGAUAUGGCCAACAUUACAAUGAUUUAGUAACACUUAUAAACUCAAAGUUAAUUGUCAUUUCUCUGCUUGAGUUGAAAAAGCUUUAGAAAUUGAUAAGAUUUAUCAAAACAUUGUGGAAAAUAGCUCUUUAAUAUGAUCUCAUGUCUAUCUCA
Arabidopsis lyrata subsp. lyrata is the source of this 2424-nucleotide long non-coding RNA. RefSeq lists it as uncharacterized. NCBI's taxonomy places the organism in Eukaryota, Viridiplantae, Streptophyta, Magnoliopsida, Brassicales, Brassicaceae. The transcript is spliced from 2 exons. The record is from RefSeq and is a predicted model, not a curated record.